CAACGCGAAAAACCUUACCUGGUCUUGACAUGUAACGAAUCCUUGAGAGAUUGAGGAGUGCCCGAAAGGGAGCGUUAACACAGGUGCUGCAUGGCUGUCGUCAGCUCGUGUCGUGAGAUGUUGGGUUAAGUCCCGCAACGAGCGCAACCCUUGCCAUUAGUUCCCAUCAUUAAGUUGGGCACUCUAAUGGGACUGCCGGUGACAAACCGGAGGAAGGUGGGGAUGACGUCAAGUCCUCAUGGCCCUUAUGACCAGGGCUUCACACGUCAUACAAUGGUCGGUACAGAGGGUCGCGAAGCCGCGAGGUGGAGCUAAUCUCAUAAAACCGAUCGUAGUCCGGAUCGCAGUCUGCAACUCGACUGCGUGAAGUCGGAAUCGCUAGUAAUCGCGGAUCAGCAUGUCGCGGUGAAUACGUUCCCGGGCCUUGUACACACCGCCCGUCAC
RNAcentral lists this ribosomal RNA (444 nucleotides) under uncultured beta proteobacterium. RNAcentral describes it as "bacterial SSU rRNA". It matches the Rfam family "Bacterial small subunit ribosomal RNA", at positions 957 to 1400 of the family's 1533-position model. Lineage: Bacteria; Pseudomonadati; Pseudomonadota; Betaproteobacteria. The record is from RNAcentral.